RNAcentral lists this long non-coding RNA (4710 nucleotides) under Sus scrofa (pig). Its description in RNAcentral is "lncRNA (ENSSSCG00060069097.1)". Lineage: Eukaryota; Metazoa; Chordata; Mammalia; Artiodactyla; Suidae. The record is from RNAcentral.
ACCCACACCCACUGCAUGCAGAAGCUCCCAGGCCAGGAAUCAAAACUACACCACAGCAGUGACACCGCUGGAUCUUCAACCCACUGAGCCACCAGGGAACUUGCUGGCACUGUGUUUUAACAAGCCCUCCAAGAGUCUAACGCACACUACAGUAUGAGAGCCACUGCUAACCUUCCUGACAACCCACCCACGACUCCUCCACAUUAAGCAUGAAUUAAUUUGUCCGCGUCACCAGAAAGCCUCUCUCCCCCUGCUUCCAUGCACACCCUCCUUCUCAAAUCACAAUUCUUCUCCUCCCCUGGAGUUCCUGCCCCAAUUCCCUAGGGGCUUAUGUAACCCAAUCCUAGAUCUCUAUUGUCAUUAUUCCUAUCUUCGGUCCCAGACCCAUCUUACAACGUGCUGGAGCACAGCUGCCCUCUUUUAUUUCUUUUUCAAUUUUUUAAAGUUUUAUUGAAAUAUAGUUGAUUUACAAGGUUGUGGUAAUUUCUGCUGUGCGACAGAGUGAUUCAGUUAUACGUGUACACACAUUUCAGAUUCUUUUUCCACACAGAGUACCACAGAAUCUUGGGUAGAGUUCUCUGCGGUAUACAGCAGGUCCCUGUUGGCCAAUUAUUCCAUAUACCUCAGUGUGCAUUAUGUCAGUCCCAAACCCUCAGUCCAUCUCUCCCCCUACCCCAUCUGUCCCUUUUAGUAACCUUAAAUUUUUCAAAGUCUGUGAGUCAAUCUCUAUUCUGCAAAUAAGUUCAUAUGCAUCCUUUUUUUUAGAUUCCACAUAGACGUGAUAUCAUAUGAUAUUUGUCUUUCACCGUCUGACUAACUUCACCUAGUGUGAUAAUCUCUAGGUGCAUUUACUUUUCUUCAAAUGGCAUUAUUUCAUUCUUUUUUAUGGCUGAGUAAUAUUCCACUGUAUAUAUGUCCUACAUAUUCUUUUCCAUUCAUCUGCUGAUGGCCAUUUAGGUUGCUUCCAUAUCUUGGUUACUGUAAAUAGUGCUGCAAUGAAUAUGGGGGUGCAUGUAUCUUUUCAAAUUAUGGUUUUCCCCAGAUAGAUGCCCAGGAGUGAGACUGCUGGAUCAUAUGGUAGUUCGAUUUUUAGGUUUUUUUUUUUUGAGGAAUCUCCAUACUGUUGAUCAGUUUACAUUCCCACCAAUUCAGCUGCCCUCUUUAACUCUGCAGAUCCUCUAGGUAGCUUACACAAUGACUCCUAGAGCACCCCUACUCUUGGGCACUCCUAGCCUAGCAAGGAAUGAGAUUUCCAGUCUCUGCCACAUAAUGUCCCAGAACUGACCCUCUCCCUCUCCAACUUCCGAUCUCAUUGUACCAUCCUCACCUCCCAAUCCUGACCCCAGAACAAGUGACAAUUCUUUCAGGAGAAAAAGCAAUUCCCCUUCUCACAUUAACAUUGUCUAAUGUUCUGCCCAACUACCAUCUCCACCUUCAUCAAUUCUUAUAAAUUGCAACAGAAAUAUAUAGUUGUGACCCCAGAAUUUACUUUGGAAAGACAAACAAUAACAUCCUAUCUGAUGUAAUCUGUGCAUGUGGGUCAGAAAGAAGAAUUUUCCAGAUUCAAAGAAAGGUGAAGACAAGAUUAUUGAGGCCAGAGGUGCUGUUAACACAGUGGGCUGACUUCCUGAUAAUCAGGGAGAGCCGGGCCUGGAGAGAAAGAAGUUUAAGACAAGAGACACUGCAAGCCCAGUGGGACAAUUUCCUGAUGAACAGGAAGAGCCUACCCUGGGUGCAUGGUUCUGCCUUGUUUUUAUAGCCCAGGGAGAGAGGACAGGUCUUGUGUUACACCUGCUGACCUGUUGUUUGGCUGGGCAAACAAGGGUCUUAUGAUACACUUGCUGGUUGGUUCAGGUCACACAAGGCCCCUUAGGGGUGGGUGAGGAGUGGGCCACCUACCUUUCCUAGUAGGGGCAGGAAAGAGUAGGUCAGGUUGCUCGAGGUGGGGGAGGGGCAUUACAAUGAGAUGGGUGGGGUGGUGUAAGGGUCUUGCAGUUCUUGUUUUAUCUAGAGGCUUUGAGGUCAAUCUCCUUGAAGGGGGGCCUUGAAAUCCAACACUAUCCUCUCCCAAUCCUCUCACAAAAAUCAUUAACAGGGGUUUUGAACCCCACCUAAAAAUGUGUUUUGUUAUCAUUGAAAAGAUGAACUUUUAAUGUUUCAAUUGAACUUUGAGUUGAUGGAGAGUCACUGAGGAAAAGAUACUCAUCAGCCUUCUGUGAAAGGUGAGGUCUGGAGCCUGGUUUGGAACAGGGAUGCCCAGGAGUGGUGAUGCCCUGGGAACACGAGGGAAAGGGAACAAACCACUCUGCCUAAUAAGCAGACUGACUCCCUGGGGCUAAGAGACUAUCAUUAUAAACUGAUGCUUUCUAUUAUUCAAUGGUAAUUAUUUUAUAUUUUAAGUGUUCACAAUGGGAAUUUAGUUGUUUAGGAAGUUUUUUUGUUUCAUUUCAGUUUUCUGUUGUCCACCAGGGCAUGGAGCCACCUAAGUGUUAUCUGUAUUUGUUAGUGUGAUUAUAGAAUCAAUUUUUAGUGAGUUAACUAUUACAGUUCUGCACAGUUCAGUGGGGUUGGGGAGCAAUGUCUUUUACAAUGUUAUGUACUCUAUAAAGAAUAACAUACGUGUAUACAUUUAACUUUAAAUAAACUGAUGCUUGACUUCCACAGGAUUAGCCUUCAGAAACAGGGUUAGGAGGACUGGGUAGGGAUGGGUAGUGAGGCAGGCUGGACUGCAGAAAAGAGAGAAAUCACAGGAGCCAGAUACUUGUCAGGCAUCUGGUGCCCAAAGAUACAAAUGCCACCGUCAUAACCCACCAUGAUUCCCCUCAUUCCCAAAGUUAUUGGUUAUGUUUGUUAACCUAUCACCUGAGUAUCAGACUUAGGAAACCAAAAGAGAGUCCAGUCAUAUUCAGGGAGAAAGUAUUUGACUCUUGAAAGCAUUUGAUUCAGAAAGAUGUUCUGAAUUCAGACAUAUAUUCAGUGGGGUAGGGGAGCAAUGGCAAAUUUUUUUAGACCUCACCUUGAGGUCAUAUACUCCCACUGCUGUCAAACAUUAUUGCUACUGUUUCUAAGGAAACUUUAAGAAGAGAGAACAAAGCAACAAAGUCAUUGGUAAGAAAUGAUGACUGCUUAAAACAACUUUUAAGAUUUAAAUGUAUGUUAUUUUCCUCCCAGUUUUCACCAUACUCCUCCCUAGGAUCUGUCUUUAAGUAGAAAGAAAAGCACCUUGGAACAGCUAACGCAGUGCAGAUUAGUGACCCUGAUUCUUUUCAAUGUAACUAGAAUGUUUUCCAAGGCUAAAAAAUUGUUCAAGCUACUCUGUAUCCAGUACGAUGUGUAUGCCCAGUGUAACUUGAACCCAUGGAUACAAAUAUUUUCUUUUACAUUCACUGUGCGUUAUUCAAUGACAGUUAACAUACAUUUUUAAAACUCAAUUGUGAAUUAUCUAUUGAAAUUAUAGCUAAUUCUCACCUUAUUACAUAUUAGAAAAUAUUUAGGAUUUUCUAUAUGCUGUUUGCAAAAGGUAAAAUUAUUUAUUAGCUGUUGAAUCCAUUCACUUUUAGUAGCAAAUACCUUACUGUUUCAUUUUUUAAAAGUUUAAUCAUUUGUCUAAAUAGCUCUAUGGAGUUUUGCUGAUUUCUUAUGGAUGAUUCUUUAGUUAUUCCCAAACAGCUGAGCAAAUUUAAUAUACACAUCCAUAUAUACAAAACAAAUGCCAUGCCUUUUCUCAUACAACACACAAUAAAUACCUUACACAUUUAGCAACAUGCUGUAUUGCAUUUUUGGUAAUUAAGUAAAGGAUAACAUGUCAUAUUCUAAUCAUGUUUUCAUAACUAAUAAAACAAUUAUACCUUCGUCGACUCAAAAAAAUGCACAACCUGAAUGUCGAGAGCUAAGUUUUAUUUGGGGCAAAAUUAGGACUUAAGCCUGGGAGACAGCAUCUCAGAUAGCCCCGACAAAACCACUGAAAACCACUUCCCGUGGCUGUGAGGGGUGUUGAAGGAGCUAGGAUACACAGAAGUUUUUGCAACAAAGGGCAGGGAGCAGGAACAAAAGACGCCUGGGCUCACGGAAAUCAUUCCUUUGAUAUGUACCUCCACUAUCAGUCCCAGUAUCCUGAGUUUUCAGUCUGCAGGACUCACCUGCUCUCACCCUUGGAGGUGACUGCACUCACAGACUCUGACAUUCUUGGUUUUAUCCUUAACUACAGACCGAGCUGAAAUACCACCCAAGGAGGAAAAGGGGUAUAUCAGGAUAUGAUAAAGGGGAGGGGGAGGUGCAUGCAGCACACACACAUUUUACAAAGGUUUGUUGCUGAUCUCCCAAAGGUUACUACCCAUCAUAAGAAGCAAACAUCACCACGAAGGAUUUUAGUGUUUUUCUAGAUAUGAGGAGAUGCAAGAAUUGGGCACAUAAAAUCUCCUAAAAAUAUAUGACUCUCUUAAGACCUGUUCUUCCAGUUUUCCCAGAGCACAGAGGGCCUCACUCCCAUGUUCAACCUGAGCUCCUUCUCGGGCACUGAGAGUCAGUAGCUGCAGUGGUUCAUAAUUUAACCCAUGGAGAGGCUGAUGGCAAGUGCCAAACUUCAGUUCACACCUUAUAUCAUUUAAAUCUGGAUUGCUUUUAGUAAUUUUUUUUUUUUUUUUUUUUUUUUGUCUUUUUAGGGCCGCACCCAAGGCAUAUGAAGGUUCCCAGGCUAGGGGUCUAAUGAGA